Molecule: long non-coding RNA, 193 nt
Organism: Solanum stenotomum
Lineage: Eukaryota; Viridiplantae; Streptophyta; Magnoliopsida; Solanales; Solanaceae
Exons: 3
Source: RefSeq, a predicted model, not a curated record
CAGAUUACUCAAAGGACAAGAUCUUGCAGGUGUUCUCCCUCCCUCCCUGAUCAAGUUACCUUAUCUCACGAAAAUUGAUGUCUCGCACAACUAUUUGAGUGGUACUAUUCCCCCUGAAUGGGCAUCUAUCAAACUGGAAUUUAUGUCUGUUAUGGUGAAUCGACUCUCUGGGACGAUUCCUAAAUACUUGGGA